UCGUUGGGUCCUUGAGGACUUAGUGACGCAGCUAACGCAAUAAGUAGACCGCCUGGGGAGUACGGCCGCAAGGUUAAAACUCAAAUGAAUUGACGGGGGCCCGCACAAGCGGUGGAGCAUGUGGUUUAAUUCGAUGCAACGCGAAGAACCUUACCUGGUCUUGACAUAUCUAGAAUCCUGCAGAGAUGCGGGAGUGCCUUCGGGAAUUAGAAUACAGGUGCUGCAUGGCUGUCGUCAGCUCGUGUCGUGAGAUGUUGGGUUAAGUCCCGCAACGAGCGCAACCCUUGUCCUUAGUUACCAGCGGGUUAAGCCGGGAACUCUAAGGAUACUGCCAGUGACAAACUGGAGGAAGGCGGGGACGACGUCAAGUCAUCAUGGCCCUUACGACCAGGGCUACACACGUGCUACAAUGGUAGGUACAGAGGGCAGCUACACAGCGAUGUGAUGCGAAUCUCAAAAAGCCUAUCGUAGUCCAGAUUGGAGUCUGCAACUCGACUCCAUGAAGUAGGAAUCGCUAGUAAUCGCGGAUCAGAAUGCCGCGGUGAAUACGUUCCCGGGCCUUGUACACACCGCC
Molecule: ribosomal RNA, 574 nt
Filed under: uncultured bacterium
Lineage: Bacteria
Description: bacterial SSU rRNA
Rfam family: Bacterial small subunit ribosomal RNA
Source: RNAcentral